AUGCCACUGGGGCGAUUGGGUCUGAAUUUCCAACAGUACAGCUCCCCAAAUCUCGUUUGCCUCUUCCAUCUGCCAGAGAGACGCGGCGUUCAGUGCAUGUCAGGGACUUUCCCUAGCCCAUACAUGUACUUGGGUUGGACCAUGGAUAUCAUAUGGGCCGGGCCUGGCUGCACCACUGACCGCUACGAGCUACAAGUACCCGAGACGAAGCAACGAGAGACCCAUCCAGUGGAUCACGAACCCGGCGGCGGCGGCACCCUGUUCUUCCCCUACCUUUCUUCCCCCAAUUCAUGUAUCUGA
RNAcentral lists this ribosomal RNA (300 nucleotides) under Triticum aestivum (bread wheat). RNAcentral describes it as "partial small subunit ribosomal RNA". The record is from RNAcentral. Lineage: Eukaryota; Viridiplantae; Streptophyta; Magnoliopsida; Poales; Poaceae.